CCAGGACCGCCGCCGAACCACAGCGGCUCGCAGCGACACCCGCGAGCCCGUGGACCGGGGACCCACCGCAGCACUGGGGUGAAGCACCUCGCUGCCCGCGCACGGGCACGAGGUACCGGGUGUCUUCCCGCCCGAACCCGUCAGCUAACUCGGUAGGCGGCAGGUGGAAGAAAG
Modestobacter marinus is the source of this 174-nucleotide regulatory RNA element. It matches the Rfam family "c-di-AMP riboswitch aptamer (ydaO/yuaA leader)". From Rfam's summary of the family: This family represents a conserved RNA structure found upstream of the ydaO and yuaA genes in Bacillus subtilis and related genes in other bacteria. The ydaO/yuaA element is thought to act as a genetic "off" switch for the ydaO and yuaA genes in its native state. It is believed that the element may be triggered during osmotic shock leading to activation of ydaO, a predicted amino acid transporter gene, and members of the yuaA-yubG operon which code for KtrA and KtrB K+ transporters. NCBI's taxonomy places the organism in Bacteria, Bacillati, Actinomycetota, Actinomycetes, Geodermatophilales, Geodermatophilaceae. The record is from Rfam.